GUGCUCUAGAGCUCACAGGCC
Molecule: microRNA, 21 nt
Filed under: Bos taurus (domestic cattle)
Lineage: Eukaryota; Metazoa; Chordata; Mammalia; Artiodactyla; Bovidae
Description: bta-miR-12012
Source: miRBase by way of RNAcentral